GUCCCUGUAGCGCAAUGGAUAGCACGUUGGACUUUUAAUCCUAAGGAAUACCAUCAGGAUUCGAAUACCAUCUGGGAUG
Non-coding RNA from Trichonephila inaurata madagascariensis, 79 nucleotides. The record is from the annotation of a GenBank genome assembly. NCBI's taxonomy places the organism in Eukaryota, Metazoa, Arthropoda, Arachnida, Araneae, Nephilidae.